Pelobates cultripes (western spadefoot toad) is the source of this 454-nucleotide non-coding RNA. The record is from the annotation of a GenBank genome assembly. NCBI's taxonomy places the organism in Eukaryota, Metazoa, Chordata, Amphibia, Anura, Pelobatidae.
GUAGUUUCAAGAGUAUGUAAAAAUGAAAAAAGAAGACAUGUAUUUACUGUGAAACAUUUACAAAACAGGAAAGGUAAAUAAGCAAUUUGAGUAGUCUCAAGAUUACGGAAAAAAGAAAUAUGUAUUCAAUAAAACAGGAAAGGUAAAUAAGUAAAUCGUCACAAGGUUCCUCUCAUGUGGAAAUCCCCAAUUCUUCGAGACGGUAACAUAGUUUACUUUUUGUGUUCGGUCUGUUAAAUCACUAACAUACCAUAUUCUCACUUGCUGAAGAAGCAAAGAAAUACUUAUUAACCCCUUAAGGACGGAGGCAGUUGUAAAAGUUCUGAUCAAAACAAAAUGUAAACAAACCUGGAAUUUGAGCUAUUUGUCUGAACAACCAUAAUUUAGCUCUAUACCCACAUGUAUUCUAUAUAAUUUUGUUCAGGAGAAAAGGAGCUUUCAUUUCACAUCAAAC